UAUUAAAAUUUUAAAAAAUUUAGAAAUUUUGAAAAUUUUAAAGUUAAUUUUAAUUUAAAAUUUUUUAAAAAGUUAUUUAAAUUAUUUUGAAAAUUUUUAAAAAAAAAGAAAUGUUUAUGAUUUUAGUUUAAUCCCCCAAUUUAAAAAAUCCCAUUAAGAAGUUAACAUUUGGUUAUAAAAUUUUAUGAUUUAUUAAAAUGUAAGUUUAAAGUGUUAAAAAAACAGGUAAAUUCAUGCAUUGAAUUAUCGAAACUAACGGGCUGCAAAUAAGGGAGGAAUUGUAAAGGUAAAAAAGUUUCAUCUCAAGAUAACAGGUAAAAUCAACAAUAUUAGGUAUUCGAAAUUAAGGAAGAUCAUCACAGGCUCAACAGUCGAUAUGCCUCAAGGGAAAUAGCCUUGGCCAUAGGAAAAGUUAGUAGAAGACGGGGGCGUAAUGCGUAGGAAUCUACCUAGUGGUACAGAAUAGCCCUCAGAAUUGGUGGGUACUCCCGUAUGUCCCCGAGGGAGUAAGAUCUAUCGCUCUUGACAGCCUUCGGUAGAUAGCUCGUUGCGAGGAUAGGGCUUACCAAGGCUAAGAUCUAUACCCGGUCUGAGGGGAAGAUCAGCCACGCUGGAAAAGAGAUGCGGUCCCGACUCCCCCGGGGGGCAGCCGUGGGGAAACCCCCACAAUUGGCGGAAGCCGAUCCAGCUGGCCGCCGAGGACGAAGGCCUCCGUCUCCACUAACAAAAAGCAAAAAUAAGAUUAGCA
This 748-nucleotide ribosomal RNA is filed under the name Ehrlichia canis. RNAcentral describes it as "bacterial SSU rRNA". The stretch from base 340 to 748 matches the Rfam family "Bacterial small subunit ribosomal RNA", at positions 1 to 469 of the family's 1533-position model. The record is from RNAcentral. Lineage: Bacteria; Pseudomonadati; Pseudomonadota; Alphaproteobacteria; Rickettsiales; Anaplasmataceae.